AUGUCCGGAUCAGCAGCAGCAAGCGGAGGAGACCUCGGCGGCGGCCAGAUCUACGGCGACCACGUCUUCUUCCAGAGUCAAUCAGCAUGCGGCGGUGGCGACGGUGGUGGUGUCAUCCCGUCGACCUACUCCAGCAUCACCGACUACCUGCACGGGCUCCUCGACCCCGCGGAGCUCGCCAAGCACCUGGACGUACCUCCGUGCUACCCGACGAUGAGAGACGCGAUCGGCGCGGUAGCGACUCCGGUCACGCCCAACUCGUCGACGUCCGGCGAGGCGGCGGGGGCCGAGUCCCACGGGUGCAAGAGAGGCAGUCCAUCGCCGGAGGAGGGAGACGAGGAUAGAUCGGCCGAUCAUGGCAGCUGCAGGAGCGAGAAGAAGAAGACGAAGGAGGGGAAGAGGGAGAAGAAGCCGCGUGGCUCCCGUGUGGCAUUCGCAACCAAGAGUGAGGUCGACCACCUCGACGACGGCUACCGCUGGCGCAAGUACGGCCAGAAGGCAGUCAAGAACAGCUCCUUCCCAAGGAGCUACUACCGGUGCACGGCGGCGCAGUGCGGGGUGAAGAAGCUGGUGGAGCGGUCACAGCAGGACCCGUCCACGGUCGUCACCACCUACGAGGGUCGCCACGCGCAUCCGAGCCCCGUCGCCGCCCACUGUGGCUCGCGCAUGCUGAUGGGCACUGGUGUCGACACCGUCUACUCGCUCGACGUGCUCCAGCAUCAACAUCGUGGCUUUUUCCCGGCCGGUACCGACGUCUAUGGGCGCAUGUGCGCACCGCCCAGUACCGCCGCCUCGGUGGUGGCACACCGGUCGUCGGAGUACGGUGGCAUGCAGGCGCAGGCCGGUCUUCUUCCCGAUGCCGUGAUGAGCUAUGAGCAUGUGCAUCCUUAA
This 891-nucleotide ribosomal RNA is filed under the name Triticum aestivum (bread wheat). RNAcentral describes it as "partial small subunit ribosomal RNA". Lineage: Eukaryota; Viridiplantae; Streptophyta; Magnoliopsida; Poales; Poaceae. The record is from RNAcentral.